CGGAUUCUGGCUCAGAUUGAACGCUGGCGGCGUGCUUAACACAUGCAAGUCGAACGCGAAAGGGGCUUCGGCCCCGAGUAGAGUGGCGCACGGGUGAGUAACGCGUGGAUAAUCUGCCCCUGCAACUGGAAUAGCGACUGGAAACGGUCGAUAAUACCGGAUACGCCCUUGUUGUACAAUGAGGGGAAAGGAGACCUCUGCUUGCAAGUUUCCGUGCAGGGAUGAGUCCGCGUCCCAUUAGCUUGUUGGCGGGUAACGGCCCACCAAGGCGACGAUGGGUAGCCGAUUUGAGAGGAUGAUCGGCCACAUUGGAACUGAAACACGGUCCAAACUCCUACGGGAGGCAGCAGUGGGGAAUAUUGCGCAAUGGGCGAAAGCCUGACGCAGCGACGCCGCGUGAGGGAUGAAGGUUCCUUCGGAUCGUAAACCUCUGUCAGAAGGGAAAAAGGUGCAGGGUGCCAAUCAGCCCUGCAUUGAUGGUACCUUCAGAGGAAGCACCGGCUAACUCCGUGCCAGCCGCCGC
RNAcentral lists this ribosomal RNA (523 nucleotides) under uncultured bacterium. RNAcentral's name for it is "bacterial SSU rRNA". It matches the Rfam family "Bacterial small subunit ribosomal RNA", at positions 13 to 518 of the family's 1533-position model. The record is from RNAcentral.